GUUUCAGCAGCCGCGGUAAUACGAGGGGGGCAAAUGUUGUUCGGAAUCACUGGGCGUAAAGGGAGCGUAGGCGGGCUUCUAAGUUAGAUGUUUAAUCCCGGGGCCCAACCCCGGACAGGCACCUAAAACUGGAAGUCUUGAAUAGUGGAGAGGACGGCGGAAUUGGGGGUGUAGCGGUGGAAUGCGUAGAGAUCCCCAAGAACACCAGUUGCGAAGGCGGCCGUCUGGACACAUAUUGACGCUGAGGCUCGAAAGCAUGGGGAGCAAACAGGAUUAGAAACCCUUGUAGUCC
Molecule: ribosomal RNA, 292 nt
Filed under: uncultured bacterium
Lineage: Bacteria
Description: partial 16S ribosomal RNA
Rfam family: Bacterial small subunit ribosomal RNA
Source: RNAcentral